GGGCCCAUGGUCCAGUGGUCUAAGACGUCUCGUUUACACCGAGAAGGUCGGAGGUUCGAACCCUCCUGGGCCCA
RNAcentral lists this transfer RNA (74 nucleotides) under Candidatus Pacearchaeota archaeon CG1_02_31_27. Its description in RNAcentral is "tRNA-Val". It matches the Rfam family "tRNA". Rfam says of the family: Transfer RNA (tRNA) molecules are approximately 80 nucleotides in length. Lineage: Archaea; Nanobdellati. RNAcentral also lists the same sequence under 3 other names. The record is from RNAcentral.